This 397-nucleotide ribosomal RNA is filed under the name uncultured bacterium. RNAcentral's name for it is "partial 16S ribosomal RNA". It matches the Rfam family "Bacterial small subunit ribosomal RNA", at positions 523 to 918 of the family's 1533-position model. The record is from RNAcentral.
CUACGUAGGGGGCGAGCGUUGUCCGGAAUGAUUGGGCGUAAAGGGCGCGUAGGCGGCUUUGCAAGUCAGUAGUGGAAGUCCAUUUUUCAAGGAUGGAAGUGCUACAGAAACUGCGGAGCUUGAGUGCAGGAGAGGUUAUCGGAAUUCCCGGUGUAGCGGUGAAAUGCGUAGAGAUCGGGAGGAACACCAGUGGCGAAGGCGGGUAACUGGGCUGUAACUGACGCUGAGGCGCGAAAGCGUGGGGAGCGAACAGGAUUAGAUACCCUGGUAGUCCACGCUGUAAACGAUGAAUGCUAGGUGUAGGGGGUAUCGACCCCUCCUGUGCCGGAGUAAACGCAAUAAGCAUUCCGCCUGGGGAGUACGGCCGCAAGGUUGAAACUCAAAUGAAUUGACGGGG